RNAcentral lists this ribosomal RNA (440 nucleotides) under uncultured bacterium. RNAcentral describes it as "partial 16S ribosomal RNA". It matches the Rfam family "Bacterial small subunit ribosomal RNA", at positions 338 to 795 of the family's 1533-position model. The record is from RNAcentral.
CCUACGGGAGGCAGCAGUGGGGAAUAUUGCACAAUGGGGGAAACCCUGAUGCAGCGACGCCGCGUGAGUGAAGACGUCUUUCGUUAUGUAAAGCUCUAUCAGCAGGGAAGAAAAUGACGGUACCUGAGUCAGAAGCCCCGGCUAACUACGUGCCAGCAGCCGCGGUAAUACGCAGGGUGCAAGCGUUAUCCGGAUUUACUGGGUGUAAAGGGAGCGUAGACGGCAGUGCAAGUCUGGAGUGAAAGGCGGGGGCUCAACCCCCGGACUGCUCUGGAAACUGUACGGCUGGAGUGCAGGAGAGGUAAGUGGAAUUCCUGGUGUAGCGGUGAAAUGCGUAGAUAUUAGGAGGAACACCAGUGGCGAAGGCGGCUUACUGGACUGUAACUGACGUUGAGGCUCGAAAGCGUGGGGAGCAAACAGGAUUAGAUACCCCAGUAGUC